UUUUCCGCAAUGGGCGCAAGCCUGACGGAGCAACGCCGCGUGCGGGAUGACGCCCUUCGGGGUGUAAACCGCUUUUCGGGGGGACGAAGACAGUGACGGUACCCCCGGAAGAAGGCCCGGCUAACUACGUGCCAGCAGCCGCGGUAAGACGUAGGGUGCAAGCGUUGUCCGGAAUUAUUGGGCGUAAAGCGCACGUAGGCGGUUCUUUAAGUCUCUUGGUGAAAGGCUGGGGCUCAACCCCAUGCAUGCCGGGGAUACUGGGGAACUGGAGACAGGUAGAGGCCAGCGGAAUUCCGGGUGUAGCGGUGGAAUGCGUAGAGAUCCGGAAGAACACCGGAGGCGAAGGCGGCUGGCUGGACCUGAUCUGACGCUGAGGUGCGAAAGCGUGGGGAGCGAA
This 397-nucleotide ribosomal RNA is filed under the name uncultured bacterium. RNAcentral describes it as "bacterial SSU rRNA". It matches the Rfam family "Bacterial small subunit ribosomal RNA", at positions 362 to 772 of the family's 1533-position model. The record is from RNAcentral.